CUACGGGGUGCUGCAGUGAGGAAUAUUGCACAAUGGGGGGAACCCUGAUGCAGCAACGCCGCGUGGAGGAUGACGCAUUUCGGUGUGUAAACUCCUUUUAUAUGUCAAGAAAAUGACGGUAGCAUAUGAAUAAGCACCGGCUGAACUCCGUGCCAGCAGCCGCGGUAAUACGGAGGGUGCAAGCGUUACUCGGAAUCACUGGGCGUAAAGGACGCGUAGGCGGGUUGGAAAGUCAGGUGUGAAAUCCUACAGCUUAACUGUAGAACUGCACUUGAAACUUCUAAUCUAGAGUAUGGGAGGGGGAGAUGGAAUUAGUGGUGUAGGGGUAAAAUCCGUAGAUAUCACUAGGAAUACCUAAAGCGAAGGCGAUCUCCUGGAACAUUACUGACGCUAAGGCGUGAAGGCGUGGGGAGCAAACAGGAUUAGAUACCCCAGUAGUC
RNAcentral lists this ribosomal RNA (440 nucleotides) under uncultured bacterium. Its description in RNAcentral is "partial 16S ribosomal RNA". It matches the Rfam family "Bacterial small subunit ribosomal RNA", at positions 339 to 795 of the family's 1533-position model. The record is from RNAcentral.